CGAGGUAUGCCUAGUAGGCACGAGUCAUCAGCUCGUGCCGAUUACGUCCCUGCCCUUUGUACACACCGCCCGUCGCUACUACCGAUUGAAUGGCUCGGUGAGGCCUUCGGACUGGCUCAGGAGGGUUGGCAACGACCCCCCAGAGCCGGAAAGUUGGUCAAACCCGGUCAUUUAGAGGAAGUAGAGGUGGUAGCAAGGUUUCCGGAGGUGAACCUGCGGAAGGAUCAUUA
This 230-nucleotide ribosomal RNA is filed under the name Aspergillus niger. RNAcentral's name for it is "partial 18S ribosomal RNA". It matches the Rfam family "Eukaryotic small subunit ribosomal RNA", at positions 1604 to 1831 of the family's 1831-position model. The record is from RNAcentral. Lineage: Eukaryota; Fungi; Ascomycota; Eurotiomycetes; Eurotiales; Aspergillaceae.